UGCUCCACUACGUCUGGGACCUCCACU
Molecule: non-coding RNA, 27 nt
Filed under: Rattus norvegicus (Norway rat)
Lineage: Eukaryota; Metazoa; Chordata; Mammalia; Rodentia; Muridae
Source: RNAcentral